UCUCAUUAUUUAGGCUACACGAUGUCUUACACCAGUACUUGUCCAAUUACCUAUUAUAUACCAAAAAAUGUAAAAACAAAAAACUAAAAAAUGUAUAUACAUGCAUAAAAAAAAUAUCGUGCAAGUCCUCUGACUGACAAAAAAAAAUCGAACAGUGUCAGGAGGCGGAAAAAAAAUAUCGAGCAAACUGAAAAUCUACCCACCCCCCCAUCAAAAAUCAAAUGGUCCGUCC
RNAcentral lists this long non-coding RNA (232 nucleotides) under Paramuricea clavata. The record is from RNAcentral. Lineage: Eukaryota; Metazoa; Cnidaria; Anthozoa; Malacalcyonacea; Plexauridae.